AUUGUGAGGUCACAAUAUGAAUAGGGGAAAGGAAAAAGAUAAUUCUCAAUGGGUGAAAAUAAUUUUCUAAAUGCUGCAAAAGCUGAAUAUUUCAAGUAGUUUCUGGUUAUAUCAAAAUGGAAUAGAGAAAGAAAAGCUAAAGAUUAUUUGAUUUAGAAGCAGCCAGAGAGCACCUGGCCCAACAACCAAUGAGAAAUCUUUCGAGCAACGGGAAGGAUUAUGGAAAAGACUACACACUUAUUUUUCACUUGCAAAGAAAACCUAGGCUGGAACUCCAAAUCAAAGAAGUGGACGAAUUUGGAAACUGUAGCUGCCCUCAUUAUAAAGGCACCAUUGUCGUUUACAAAGUACCUAAAGGAAAGAUAGUCCCCAACUUGAAUCAAUCUCUCGUAAUUAAUGAAAACCAUUCUCAGUUGCCAAUUUGCAAAUUACCAUUGAAAUUGCCAAAG
This 449-nucleotide small RNA is filed under the name Pan troglodytes (chimpanzee). RNAcentral's name for it is "processed transcript". The record is from RNAcentral. Lineage: Eukaryota; Metazoa; Chordata; Mammalia; Primates; Hominidae.